Molecule: ribosomal RNA, 133 nt
Filed under: uncultured Fusobacteriota bacterium
Lineage: Bacteria; Fusobacteriati; Fusobacteriota
Description: uncultured Fusobacteria bacterium partial 16S ribosomal RNA
Rfam family: Bacterial small subunit ribosomal RNA
Source: RNAcentral
ACAAGUCUGAUCCAGCAUUCUGUGUGUUUGAUGAAGGCCUUCGGGUUGUAAAGAACUUUCAGUGGGGAAGAAGCAAGUGACGGUACCCACAGAAGAAGCGACGGCUAAAUACGUGCCAGCAGCCGCGGUAAUA